GACGAACGCUGGCGGCGUGCUUAACACAUGCAAGUCGAACGGAAAGGCCCUGCUUGCAGGGUACUCGAGUGGCGAACGGGUGAGUAACACGUGGGUGAUCUGCCCUGCACUUCGGGAUAAGCUUGGGAAACUGGGUCUAAUACCGGAUAGGAGCCAUCUUUAGUGUGGUGGUUGGAAAGUUUUUUCGGUGUAGGAUGAGCUCGCGGCCUAUCAGCUUGUUGGUGGGGUAAUGGCCUACCAAGGCGGCGACGGGUAGCCGGCCUGAGGGGGUGUACGGCCACAUUGGGACUGAGAUACGGCCCAGACUCCUACGGGAGGCAGCAGUGGGGAAUAUAGCACAAUGGGCGCAAGCCUGAUGCAGCGACGCCGCGUGGGGGAUGAAGGCCUUCGGGUUGUAAACUCCUUUCGCUAGGGACGAAGCUUUUUUGUGACGGUACCUAGAUAAGAAGCACCGGCUAACUACGUG
This 466-nucleotide ribosomal RNA is filed under the name uncultured bacterium. RNAcentral's name for it is "partial 16S ribosomal RNA". It matches the Rfam family "Bacterial small subunit ribosomal RNA", at positions 28 to 507 of the family's 1533-position model. The record is from RNAcentral.